CCCCUUGUUCGUUGAGCGCUAGCACGCUCGCGCGCAGAGAGCGUGCCGAGACACCCCUCCACACAACGAGUCUCACGCAUACGUGAUCGAAGACGCGCAUGCAGCGGCACGGGCACGUGGCCGCGCGGUGCAUCCGGGCGCCGGUGUGGCCACACAGCUCCUUCGCGCUGCGCAUUGCAAGGAGGCGCUUUGGCAUGCCGAACCCGUCCGACCUCCUCACGCCCCCGGCGGGGCUCGUUGCGCUCCUUUACCGUCACACCGGAAACGUGGGGGGCGACCGGACAGACGGCAGCGACGCACAGCCGCGGCGCGGCAAGGAAAGACGACGUGCACGGCAGCAACAGCUGGGUGGUGGCGGCCCUUCUACUGAAAAGUCAUCGGACCAAGAACGCCACAGCGGUGAAGACGGGAAGGCUGGACCUAGUAGCAGCACCUUCGGAAGCAAGCAAGCGACGACGCUUGCCGUUGCCGUCUUCCUCCUUUCCAUUCUGUGGGACUUCUUCACAGCGCAGAAGUCAGUUAUGUGGCACGCCAUCAAAAACACCUUCGUCACGACACUGGAGGUGCGCUCAUCCUCGCAGGAGUUCGCGAUGAUCGUGGACUGGAUGGGUCGUCAACCGCGUGGGCAGCGUAUCCGAAACCUGGGCUUGAAGCCGAUCACCGUGCAGGACGAGCAGAAGACGGUGUGGGGUGAUACGCCAUCGCCGCUGUCAGACGACGUCGCCGCAAGCGCGGACGUCGACGCGCGCGUCACGCUGGUACCGGGCUACGGGAGUCACCUGCUCCGCUUCGGAUCAACGUGGGUGUACAUUACGCGCGCGGAAGAUCCAUCUAAGCAGAAGGCCGCCGCGGCCAAUCGCGUGGAUCGCGAGAACGACAAGCUGACUCUGACCUUCUUCACGCGCCGCCGGGCUGUUGUGCAACAGUUCAUGACACACGUGCAGGAGUCGUGGCGGGCAAAUGUGCGCAACACGGUGCACAUCUACCUCAGCGAGGGAUACGGCCCACGGUGGCAUCUCCUGUCCGAACGCAUCCGGCGGCCGCUGUCCACUUUGUACCUCCCUGCGGACACCAAGACCGUUGUCGAGGAAGCGAGGCUUUUUUUGCAGCUAAAAGACACGUACGCGGCGCUGGGGAUCCCGUGGCGUCGCGGAUACCUGCUUGAGGGGCCGCCCGGCACUGGCAAAACGAGCUUCGUGAUGGCACUCGCUGGCGAGUUGGGGCUCCCGGUGCACAUUCUCUCCCUUCGCAGUGACAACAUGGACGACGACGCGCUACUGUCGCUCACCAGCAGCCUGCCGCGCCGGUCGAUUCUACUUAUCGAGGAUCUCGAAAAUGUCCUCAAGACGCCACCGGAGAUUGGAAGAAGCGCUCUGUCCUCUAGCGCAAGCGACACGGCCGCAGUAGCAGCAGCCGAAACAAGCGCGGCUUCCCCUGCAUCGCCCUACUCGACAGACAUUGGCGGUGGCCCUCGCUCUGCCAUGUCCCUGAGUGCGUUACUGAAUGCCCUGGACGGCGUUUCCAGCAGCGAGGGGCGGCUGCUCUUGAUCACCACGAAUGACACCAGUCGCAUCCCGUUUGCCGAGGUGUUGCUGCGGCCUGGCCGUAUCGAUCGCCGCAUCAGGUUUCAGCCACUGCACGCGGAGCAGUUGCGCGAGAUGGAGGCGUCCUUUCAACAGGCGCUGCAAGCGUCCCCUUGCUCGGCAGUGGAGAACCUGAGGUUGCCCAGUGGGAGCCUAAGCGCUCACGAGGACGACCGCUCCAUCACCUGCACGCCGGCACAGUACCAGCAGAGGUUGCUCGACGCCGUCUACGCGUCGCUCACGUCCAGGUCCCGACCGGGAAGCAAAUGAGAUUCGUGAAUCCCUCUGACGCGGAUGCGUUGCCGUCGCUGUGGGAGCUGCGUGUGCGUGUAUGUUUUGUUGUUGUUGGUUGUUGCUCUCCUUGCGUUGUUGCCCGCCCUUCGUGCGGCUUACCCGCCGUGAUAGUUGCUUCUCACAAAAGCAGCCCAUCAACCAAUAGCAAUCAUGCGGAGCACCGAUGCAUAAGAGCACGCCGCGCAGUGUACUGCAAGCCCCACCUCAGCACUCCUCUGCUAGCAUCCUCUGAACAAAGACAACACCCGUGCUCUUCAGAGUCGUAGUACGUGGAAAGUGCAGGACCGCAUCCAUGCAGCACCUGUGUGUGGACUUGUGCGGAGGCUGGGGGCUGAGUCGCAGCGCUCUCCCUUCGUUUGCCCUCAUUCUGUUUCCUAGCCCAUUUAUAUCUGCGUGCGUGCAUCUCCCACUCUCUCCCUCUCCACCUCUGUGCCCGUUUCAAG
RNAcentral lists this unclassified non-coding RNA (2320 nucleotides) under Leishmania donovani. Its description in RNAcentral is "gene:LdHU3.36.7510(CDS-product:mitochondrial_chap erone_BCS1_putative)". The record is from RNAcentral. Lineage: Eukaryota; Euglenozoa; Kinetoplastea; Trypanosomatida; Trypanosomatidae.